This 499-nucleotide ribosomal RNA is filed under the name uncultured bacterium. RNAcentral describes it as "bacterial SSU rRNA". It matches the Rfam family "Bacterial small subunit ribosomal RNA", at positions 95 to 606 of the family's 1533-position model. The record is from RNAcentral.
GCGGCGGACGGGUGAGUAACGCGUGGGUAACCUACCCCAAAGUCCGGGAUAACAACGGGAAACCGCUGCUAAUACCGGAUGCCUUUACCUUGGGGCAUCUUGAGGUAAAGAAAGGCAACGCUUUGGGAUGGGCCCGCGUCCCAUUAGCUAGUUGGUGAGGUAACGGCUCACCAAGGCGACGAUGGGUAGCCGGCCUGAGAGGGUGGACGGCCACACUGGGACUGAGACACGGCCCAGACUCCUACGGGAGGCAGCAGUAGGGAAUAUUGCGCAAUGGACGGAAGUCUGACGCAGCGACGCCGCGUGAGCGAUGAAGGUCUUCGGAUCGUAAAGCUCUGUCCUUGGGGAAGAAGGCGAAAGCUUGACGGUACCCAAGAAGAAAGCCCCGGCUAACUACGUGCCAGCAGCCGCGGUAAUACGUAGGGGGCGAGCGUUGUCCGGAAUUACUGGGCGUAAAGGGUGCGUAGGCGGCCCUUUAAGUCGGAUGUGAAAGCCCGCG